Mesocricetus auratus (golden hamster) is the source of this 103-nucleotide small nuclear RNA. The record is from Ensembl. NCBI's taxonomy places the organism in Eukaryota, Metazoa, Chordata, Mammalia, Rodentia, Cricetidae.
UUGCUUUGGCAGUAAAUAUACUAAAACCAUAACAAUACAGAGAAGAUUAGUAGGGUCCCUGGGCAGGAAUGACCCACAAAUUUAUAAAGCAUUCCGUAUUUUU